UGGGGAAUAUUGGACAAUGGGCGAAAGCCUGAUCCAGCGACGCCGCGUGGGUGAAGAAGGCCUGCGGGUUGUAAAGCCCUUUCGGUGGGGAAGAAAAGCCUCGAGCUAAUAUCUCGGGGUCUUGACGUAACCCAUAGAAGAAGCACCGGCUAACUCUGUGCCAGCAGCCGCGGUAAUACAGAGGGUGCGAGCGUUAAUCGGAAUUACUGGGCGUAAAGCGCGCGUAGGCGGCUUUGCAAGUCGGGUGUGAAAUCCCCAGGCUUAACCUGGGAACUGCAUUCGAGACUGCAUUGCUAGAGUAUGGGAGAGGGAAGUGGAAUUUCCGGUGUAGCGGUGAAAUGCGUAGAUAUCGGAAGGAACAUCAGUGGCGAAAGCGACUUCCUGGACCAAUACUGACGCU
RNAcentral lists this ribosomal RNA (400 nucleotides) under uncultured bacterium. Its description in RNAcentral is "bacterial SSU rRNA". It matches the Rfam family "Bacterial small subunit ribosomal RNA", at positions 355 to 747 of the family's 1533-position model. The record is from RNAcentral.